UAGCUUACAGUUGCUUAGAUACAAUAUAAUUUUUUCCUAUUAUUUCUUAAAAUUAUUCUCUUCCUGGUUUCUGAUUUUCCCAGUCAAUUUCCAAUUUCGCCAUAUCAACCAUUCAUCUCUGCUCAGGGCUUUAUCUUCUUUGCAAUAGUAUCCACACUGCUGUCAUCGCGUACAUAAAUAGUCAUUUCUGCUCCUUCGGAAUUUCUGCACCUAAAAUACCUGGUGUUAUGUAUUGAAGUUCUCACCCUGGCUACCAGGAGUAUCGUGUAUAGUAUAUAGUUUUCACACAGGUCCACGUCAGUUACUUUAGGCGGGAAACCCUGGGUUGUUGUUGCUACAAUGUUGACAGCCGGCUGCCUAUAAAAGCAGGCCGGCUGAGCUGUUUGCUAUUCAGUUCUGUUCCAGCUUACAAAUAAAGAGCUGCUUUGGAGAAAUUGCUGCGUUGUCUGCUAUGUCUACCCACUAUUUAACACCUAAUAAAAGACUGGAUUUUUCGCAAACGUUACUUUAAACAUUUUUUUCAAUUCAUUAUAAAUCAUUUCUCAGAAUGCUUUUGUCCACCACAUUUCUUUCUCUUAGCAUUUCCAACAAACAUUUGAAGCAGUUCUAACCCUCCAUAAUUUUUCCCAAGAUGAAAAUUGGAUAUUAUUCCCAAUAUAUUGUGCCCAAUAUAUCAUUACUGAUUUAACUUUUUCAUCUUGGGUAUGCCACUUUAGCAACAAUUUAUACAUUUUAGAAAGUAACCACAUUAUUUUCCAUUAAAGAUUUUUCAAACCUUGAAAUUUCUUUACUGAAUCCAAUUUUCUGAUCUAUUUUAAACACAUCAUUUAAUUGAUAUUGGAACCAGUCUGUUACUGUCUUAUAUCCUCAAAACUUUUUCAAUUUCAAUUGUUGCUCUACUUCCAUAAGCAACUCUCUAUAGGUUGCCCAUUCAUUUUUUGCAUUAGUCUUUCUCAGGGAUAUCGCUUCCCUGGGGAAAGCCACCAUGAUGUCUUCUGCUCUAACAAGUUUUUAUAUUUUCCCCAUAAAUUGCUUUUCUUACCAAAUGAUUCAAAAACCAUUUAUGCACUUUGGUCUUCUCAUACCUUAGAUGUGCAUCUAUCUGCUAUCAUGACCCUCAAAGUCUAGAAUAUCUGUAUUUUUUAAAAGUUAUCCAUUCCUAUAGCCAGUAGGGACAUGACACCUCAUAAUAUAAUUUCAAAUUCGGCAGAGAGAAGCCACCUAUUUCUUUACUAUCUGUUAAUAGUUUGUAUUUAAUCUUUGGUUUCUUCCCCUGCCAGAUAAAUUUAGAUGCAUCUUUUUGCCAUUGUUUGAAGCUCCACUGACCACAGGUAUUGUUUCUUAUUGGCGUUUGCUUUGGUUCUCUGCCAGGGACUGGCUGCCUCACUGUCUCAUCCUUGGAAACCCUUAUCAGGUAAAGAAGGUGAGACCGCCAUAAAAUGUUUUUCAUCACCAUAAGUUGAGAUGGAAGAGCUGGCAUUCUAAAAGUCAUAAAUAGGUGUGCGAUGUUUCUUAUGCUGGGCAGGAAAUGGAAAUUUUUCAGAUCUACUUUUUGGUAAUGGCAGGUCAAAAGCUGAGAUAAGGACGUCAUAAUUAACCUGCGAUUCAUCCACUUGUACUCAUUUUGAUGAAUCUCAAGCAUUAUCUGGUUCGCUUGGGGGACUUGGCAAGGCUUUAUUUCAUCCAUGACUUGUAUUGACAGUUCGCUGGCAUAGUUGUGUCUAAUCCUCCUUUUAGCCCUUUGGGCAUUUAUAGAAGGAGGGCAAUUAUCCAAGUAUUCCUCUGUAUUAGUUAUUUUGGUGAAAAUUUCAUUCAGUCUUUGAAGAACUAAGACCAUAGUUUCUGCUGACAUCAUAUGGUAAGGGUAUAAAUCUGGAAUCUGCUGGAAACAAGUUCCUCUAUUUGUCUUGUUCUAAAGACGUGGAUGGGUCAGCAUUUGGGAUGGGGGGAUCUCUCCUACUCCUGUUUUCUGGGUGAAAUCAUCUCCUUCCCUCCUUGAAAGGGGGAGGGGUCGGAUCAUCUCCUUCCUUCUUAGAGUGGGGGAGGGUUCUCCCAGCAACAUUACUCACAAUUUGCUCUGUUUCCGAGCUAGGAAUGAAGGUGUUGGCUUUCUGCCGCUUCUCUGCGUUGGAGGAAUUGUGAGUCCCAAUUACCGUAUUUUUUGCUUUAUAAGACUCACUUUUUCCCUCCUAAAAAGUAAGGGGAAAUGUGUGUGCGUCUUAUGGAGCGAAUGCAGGCUGCGCAGCUAUCCCAGAAGCCAGAACAGCAAGAGGGAUUGCUUCUUUCACUGCGCAGCGAUCCCUCUUGCUGUUCUGGCGUCUGAGAUUCAGAAUAUUUUUUUUCUUGUUUUCCUCCUCCAAAAACUAGGUGCGUCUUGUGGUCUGGUGCGUCUUACAGAGUGAAAAAUACGAUAUGCUGUUUUGGCUCUUAAUGCCUCGUUUUUUCCUUCUAGCAGGCAUAAUUAGCAGCGGGGUGAGCUCCCGUUGCUCAGUCCCUGCUCCUGCCAACCUAGCAGUUUGAAAGCAUGUCAAAGUGCAAGUAGAUAAAUGGGUACUGCUCCAGCGGGAAGGUAAAUGGUGUUUCAGUGCGCUGCUCUAGUUUGCCAGAUGUGGCUUAGUCAUGCUGGCCACAUGACCCGGAAGCUGUACGCCGGCUCCCUCGGCCAAUAAAGCGAGAGGAGUGCGCAAUCUCAGAGUCGGCCAUGACUGGACCUUUUAUCAGAUCAAGGCCAGGUCUUAUGUUCAAUGGAUGAAAGCUGUGUGUUAGUUGCAAAGACUGCAAUCUACCUUCUUUAGUGUUCCUUGUUACACUAAAUCGAGUUGAGCCAUAAAACAGUAGAUAAUAAAACAGUAAAACUGUUUUAUUAGACUAAAAGCAGAGAAAACAAAACGACAACUAAAAAUAUAAACAUAGGGUCAGAAGAUGGCUAAAACCUAAUUAAAAGCUUAAUUGAAGGCAGGAGGUUCUGGCUAGGCUGCUACCUCCGUUGCCAUUUUGGCUCACAAAUGUUUGUUUGCUGCUGCUGUGGGGCCAUUUUAGAUGAAGGCAGAGUGACCGGAAAGAGGCGCCACCGGAGGAGAGGCAAACGAAGACAUGCCACCACCGCCAUAUUGGUUGAGGGCAGUCGGGCCUAGCCUGGCCAUUUUGUGGCGCUGGUCUCCCUCGUGAGGUGAGCGCCUCAUCUCUUGAGGGGUCCCAGGAGAAGUUAGGGGUCCCUGCGGAGAAGGAAGAGUGGAGACCCCCCCCCAAUCCCCUCAGGCAGGAGUUCCAACAGUGCCUUAGGGGCCUUGGCCUUUCUCUGGUUUGUUGUUGUUGUUGCUGCUGCUGCUGCUGUUAUCAUCAUUAUCCUCAGUAUUAUCCUUAUUCUCCUCCUCCAUUUCUUAGCUGGGAACCCAAGUUUCUUCCAGGAACCCAAGUGCUGGUGCCUGCAACUUCGCCUGUGACUGCUGGGAUUGCUCUGACAAGAUCCAUUGACACUAGUUUUGGCGUCACCAAAGGAAUCAGGGAGAUGUGCUUCAAUUCCCCUCGCAGAUAGUAUUUAACCCAUCACGGCAUCUCUCAAAGCACCCUGGGAACUGUAGUUUCUUAUGGGGGGAGAGAAUAUUCUGCACAACCUUUCCCAAGGGAACUCUGGGAGAUAUAGCUCUGAGAGGGUCUCUUUGGGAAACGGAACAAACUACAGUUCCCACGAUGUCCCCCAAAGCACCCUGGGAACUAUUGCUUGCUCUGGGUGUAGAGGGUUGCGAAUCCCUUGACAGAUCCAGUUCCCAAGCCCUUUUCUCUUCCUAGGGAACUCUGGUAACUGUAGCUCAUGGGAGGAACAUCACUUGGUGCCCUGAAUUCUGGGAACUGUAGCUUGCUCAGGGCGCCUGAUUCCUUCUCCUUCUAGGCUACUGGAAUGGGCUGGCACUGCUGAGUGUCGCCUUGGCCUGCGACUUUGAAGGCACCGCCUGCAGCUGGGAGGACAUCAGCAUGUCUGGGUACUGGUGGCGCCCAGGGUGGGGCAGAGGCUGGGUGCGCGGCCCCGACUCCCCCUUCAGCCACAUGCUGGGCACCGACCAGGGUAAACUUGCUUCAUUUGAAAGGCAGAGAAGCAUUGCUUAGCAGUUAGAGCACCCCUUUGACCUGGCGCCCCCCAAUCAGGCUGGUACAUGAGCACCUCGGAGCAGCGAACCAAGCCGCCUGACUCCGCUCCCUGACCAUGAGUGACACAGCCACAGCCUGUGAACUCUGCACCUGGUACAGUAUGACUGAGAAAGGUAAGCUUGGGGCACUGGUCGGAAAACCAACAGGCACAGAGCCAUGUACUUGGCCUUUUUCCCUGUGUGGAGGAAAUUCCACCAGGCACAGUUGUCGUAAUUCCGUAUUGAUAUCACAUAUUACAUUUCUAAGCUGCAGGACAUAUCGUGGUGAUAUCAUAUAAUUAUUAUUUAUUGAUUUCCAGACCACUGACCCGCCUGGUAGGGCCAGCAUAAUGAAAUACCAUUCUUAUCAGGAAAUUUACUGAUGCCCUGCUUCCCGUCCCCCUUUGGGAUUCCUGGCAGCUGACCAAUAAAAAUGAGAGCGGUUGAGAUGAGAUGUCAUUCUGCAAUUCUCGCAGGGGUCAGGCUAGAUGACCCCCGGGUCCCAUUUCCUCUCUUUAUAUAUCUAUGGUUCCCACCUGCAGGGGUCAGGCUAGAUGACCCCUGGUUCCUCACCCCUCAGCCCUUCCUGUGCAGGACUCAACGGGAGCUUCCCUGUGGAGCUGAGCCACGGCAACCACAUUGUCCCCUGUGGCGAAGCCCUGCCUCAUCCUCAGGCACCUGGCGCCCCCUGCUGGCUUACACUGGAAGAGUCCACAGCGCUUUCCAGGUAGGUCUUGGGCUCCUCGCCCUCCCCGGCCGGCUCCUUAUCUGGAGCAUGUCAAGAGCGCAGGUGACCUUCUCCUCGGCGAGUGUGGCACUGGACAACGUGUAGUUCAUGAACUGUGGCCCCCAAAGUAAAGCUUUAUUUUCCACCUCCCCAAAACCUGGCCAACCAGAUAGAUUGCUUGGAGGCAGCUCAUUAACCGUUCCAACAUUUCCAAGUCCCCGGAGCUGCACCCCAGGCAAGCCAUGCUUGCCAAGCGGCUGCAUGGCACCUGCCUGCACCGAGGACUGUGGCGACGGUGGAGAUGAACGGGGUUGCGGUGACCGGUCAAGGGGGCAUUCGAGGCCAGGGGAACAUUGGCACCACCGGAAGGGAGGGGGCUACCAGGAAACCUCCCAACCAGGCCAAAGCAUUUAAGGAGGGUGCAGAGUAUGCUAGCUGAAAUGGGGCUUACCCUGGGGAAAAUCCUGAGCGGAAGUUGCAAGUUGGUGGCCACCACUGCCUCUUGUAGCAGGGAGUUCCAUAACGUGCGCUUUGUAAAGAAGUACUUCCUUUCUUUGAUGUGUCCUGAACCUUCCAGCGUCCAGCUCCGUGAGUUCUACCGUUAUGAGAGGGAGAAAAACUUUCCUCUAUCCACUUUCUCCAGGCUAGGUCUCAUUGGCCUGGAGAAAUCACAUCUUUGCAUAAUUUAAUGCACAAAGAACAAAUAGAAAAUAGGAACAAAUAGGAAAACUCCCCUGCAUUUACUAAAUAACCACAUCCCUCAUUUGUGUUGCUGAGAUAAAUUUAUUUAACACUCUGACGAACUCACCUGCCAAAACACAGGAGAAUAUCAACAAUCCAGGACAGAAAAUUUUACCCAUAGUGUUUUGUUUUUCCAAAAUCAGCUAAAACAGAAGGGAGAGGUCACCCAUUACCUGUAAGGGAGCAAAUAUUCCUUUGAGAAGUUUCUCCCAAAAUGGAAGGCACACGAGACUCUGUAAUUCUCUUCUUUGGGAGGUGGGUGUCGUGCAGGUGGCCUUGGGGAGCUGGAUGCGAAGGAGGCACGUCCCAGGCCUUUGAACUGCAACAAGGACAACCUGGGAACAUCUCUCACCUACUGUGCCUGCAUCUCCUCACUCUCUCAAUCGCUCCGCUCCCAGCCGAGAACAAAGACCAACCUCUCUUGUGGGGUUAAUGUUACACAUGGUGUUCCCAUUAUGUAGGGACUGGUGAUUCGCUUCAUCAUUAGGGUCCAGACUGAGGUUCCCAGCGUGGCAUGUGGACUCCAUGGCACCCUCAGACACCCUUCUUAGCACCCACCAAGGCUCCCUGAGUCUUUUAAAAAAGUUUCCCCAAAUUCUGUUACGUUUUUACAGUGCUACAAGACCAUUUGUUUUGGCAGUUGAGGGAUUAUUUAUUUAUUUCUUUAUUUUGCCCUUUAUUUUACUCCACUGUAAAUUAUUAAAUAAUAAAAAAUAGUGUUUGUUAUUUAGAUCAA
This is a long non-coding RNA of Podarcis raffonei (Aeolian wall lizard), 6328 nucleotides long. RefSeq lists it as uncharacterized. Lineage: Eukaryota; Metazoa; Chordata; Lepidosauria; Squamata; Lacertidae. The record is from RefSeq and is a predicted model, not a curated record. The transcript is spliced from 2 exons.